GCAACAUCAGGCUGGUCGCCUCGGACCGCACCGUGCUGCAGGCGCUUCUGGCCAUUUCCUGGAUGUGGUUCUACGGCGUGGCCUUUCUCACCCAGUUCCCGGUGUUCGCCAAGGGCGUGCUG
This 122-nucleotide non-coding RNA is filed under the name Thiomonas delicata. RNAcentral's name for it is "Burkholderia RNA 11". It matches the Rfam family "Burkholderia RNA 11". From Rfam's summary of the family: Co-purified with Hfq, expression confirmed by Northern blot. Predicted target marZ. The record is from Rfam by way of RNAcentral. Lineage: Bacteria; Pseudomonadati; Pseudomonadota; Betaproteobacteria; Burkholderiales.